UGCCAUCUGCAACCUGAUUUCAACGGCCC
RNAcentral lists this non-coding RNA (29 nucleotides) under Mus musculus (house mouse). The record is from RNAcentral. Lineage: Eukaryota; Metazoa; Chordata; Mammalia; Rodentia; Muridae.